This is a long non-coding RNA of Notothenia coriiceps (black rockcod), 392 nucleotides long. RefSeq lists it as uncharacterized. The transcript is spliced from 3 exons. The record is from RefSeq and is a predicted model, not a curated record. Lineage: Eukaryota; Metazoa; Chordata; Actinopteri; Perciformes; Nototheniidae.
UACGGUUAAGUCAGACGUGUAUCUAUCAGGACAUUUCCUCCCUAAACAGCUGCAACAUGAAUGAUUCCUAUGAGCCGUCGCUUGUUUUUCUGAGACAAUAGACUCAUGAAUUGUAAACGGGAUGUCAACCAACUUGGCGUUAUACUUAGAACAUCUUCAAAAAGACCCCGGGAUGGAUAGUGAAACAGGGAUAAUGUCUAUCGACCAGGGAGGAGAGUGGGACAUUAGCCUGUUUGAUGAGCUCGACUACAUGGGAGAUGCAGAAGAGCUGCUUCAGGCCCUGGAGCAUGGCAGCUAUACCAAUGAGGGUCCAGACCUGGACUUUGACAUUGACAUACUGCCGUGGAAGGAAGUUGACGGGAGCAGCUGCACAGGUACAUGUUGACAUCUGU